CAGCCGUAAACUAUGCGCGUUAGGUGUAUCGGUGACCACGAGUUACCGAGGUGCCGAAGGGAAACCGUGAAACGUGCCGCCUGGGAAGUACGGUCGCAAGGCUGAAGCUUAAAGGAAUUGGCGGGGGAGGCACCACAACAGGUGGAGCCUGCGGUUUAAUUGGACUCAACGCCGGGAAGCUCACCGGAUAGGACAGCAGAAUGAUUGCCGGGCUGAAGACCCUGCAUGACUAGCUGAGAGGAGGUGCAUGGCGUCAGUGACU
RNAcentral lists this ribosomal RNA (262 nucleotides) under uncultured archaeon. Its description in RNAcentral is "partial 16S ribosomal RNA". It matches the Rfam family "Archaeal small subunit ribosomal RNA", at positions 748 to 1008 of the family's 1478-position model. The record is from RNAcentral.